UGAAAAAGAAAGUUCAGUCACAGGUGAUUACUGCUAUGGUGAUGUUUACAAGCUUUUGACUGGGCUUCAUAUUGUUUUUGGGCAUGGUCAAUAUUUUUUUUUAUAACUUUCAGGUAACCUUAAAUGUGUAGAUGCUAAUUUCAACUAUGGAGACCAUAUUAGUAUGACUAUAUGUCGAAAAUAUAAGCAAAGAAAUGUUCCUAGUGGACAGCUGUUCUAUUGUUAUUUCACAAAGAACUUAAAUGACUUGCAUAGAUUUUUUUGGGUAUAUGAGCAGGAAAUCGAGAAUGAAAAGCUA
RNAcentral lists this unclassified non-coding RNA (298 nucleotides) under Hevea brasiliensis (rubber tree). Lineage: Eukaryota; Viridiplantae; Streptophyta; Magnoliopsida; Malpighiales; Euphorbiaceae. The record is from RNAcentral.